Molecule: ribosomal RNA, 512 nt
Filed under: uncultured bacterium
Lineage: Bacteria
Description: partial 16S ribosomal RNA
Rfam family: Bacterial small subunit ribosomal RNA
Source: RNAcentral
GACGAACGCUGGCGGCGUGCCUAAUACAUGCAAGUCGAGCGGAUGGAAGGAAGCUUGCUUCCUAAAGUCAGCGGCGGACGGGUGAGUAACACGUGGGCAACCUGCCCCUAAGAUCGGGAUAACUUCGGGAAACCGGAGCUAAUACCGGAGAUGAUUAUGUCUCACAUGAGACAUAAUGGAAAGACGGUUUCGGCUGUCACUUAGGGAUGGGCCCGUGGCGCAUGAGCUAGUGGGGGAGGUAACGGCUCACCAAGGCGACGAUGCGUAGCUGACCUGAGAGGGUGAUCGGCCACACUGGGACUGAGACACGGCCCAGACUCCUACGGGAGGCAGCAGUAGGGAAUCUUCCGCAAUGGACGAAAGUCUGACGGAGCAACGCCGCGUGAGUGAAGAAGGUUUUCGGAUCGUAAAACUCUGUUGUUAGGGAAGAACAAGUACCAUAGUAACUGAUGGUACCUUGACGGUACCUAACCAGAAAGCCACGGCUAACUACGUGCCAGCAGCCGCCGCCG